This 320-nucleotide ribosomal RNA is filed under the name uncultured bacterium. RNAcentral describes it as "bacterial SSU rRNA". It matches the Rfam family "Bacterial small subunit ribosomal RNA", at positions 470 to 789 of the family's 1533-position model. The record is from RNAcentral.
UGACGGUACCUGACUAAGAAGCUCCGGCUAAAUACGUGCCAGCAGCCGCGGUAAUACGUAUGGAGCAAGCGUUAUCCGGAUUUACUGGGUGUAAAGGGAGUGUAGGCGGCAUGGCAAGUCUGAAGUGAAAGCCCGGGGCUCAACCCCGGAACUGCUUUGGAAACUGUUAAGCUAGAGUACAGGAGAGGUAAGCGGAAUUCCUAGUGUAGCGGUGAAAUGCGUAGAUAUUAGGAGGAACACCAGUGGCGAAGGCGGCUUACUGGACUGUAACUGACGUUGAGGCUCGAAAGCGUGGGGAGCAAACAGGAUUAGAUACCCUG